Molecule: ribosomal RNA, 536 nt
Filed under: uncultured bacterium
Lineage: Bacteria
Description: bacterial SSU rRNA
Rfam family: Bacterial small subunit ribosomal RNA
Source: RNAcentral
CCUUACCUACCCUUGACAUGUCUGGAAUCCCGAAGAGAUUUGGGAGUGCUCGCAAGAGAACCGGAACACAGGUGCUGCAUGGCUGUCGUCAGCUCGUGUCGUGAGAUGUUGGGUUAAGUCCCGCAACGAGCGCAACCCUUGUCAUUAGUUGCUACGAAAGGGCACUCUAAUGAGACUGCCGGUGACAAACCGGAGGAAGGUGGGGAUGACGUCAAGUCCUCAUGGCCCUUAUGGGUAGGGCUUCACACGUCAUACAAUGGUCGGGACAGAGGGUUGCCAACCCGCGAGGGGGAGCCAAUCUCAGAAACCCGAUCGUAGUCCGGAUUGCAGUCUGCAACUCGACUGCAUGAAGUCGGAAUCGCUAGUAAUCGCGGAUCAGCAUGUCGCGGUGAAUACGUUCCCGGGUCUUGUACACACCGCCCGUCACACCAUGGGAGUGGGUUUUACCAGAAGUAGUUAGCCUAACCGCAAGGGGGGCGAUUACCACGGUAGGAUUCAUGACUGGGGUGAAGUCGUAACAAGGUAAGCGUAGUGCU